UGCCGCAGUACAUUGACUGUGCAAAGGUAGCAUAAUCAGUUGGCUUUUAAUUGAAGUCUGGUAUGAAUGAAAAUAUGGGAGAUAACUGUCUUAGCGUAUUCAUUCGAAUUUAUUUAGUAAGUGCAAAUACUUACAAACUUAAAAAAGACGAGAAGACCCUAGAAACUUGAAGUAGUUUUUGUUGGGGCGACAGAAUUACAUUUAACUAAUUUUAAUAAACAUGACAUUUAAUGAAAGAAUAAGUUACUCUAG
Molecule: ribosomal RNA, 252 nt
Filed under: Helix cincta
Lineage: Eukaryota; Metazoa; Mollusca; Gastropoda; Stylommatophora; Helicidae
Description: partial 16S ribosomal RNA
Source: RNAcentral